AAGAAAGUAAUUAAGGGCGUACGGAGGAUGCCUUGGCUCUCAGAGGCGAUGAAGGACGUGACAAGCUGCGAUAAGCUUCGGGGAGGUGCAAAUAACCGCUAAUCCGGAGAUUUCCGAAUGGGGCAACCCACCAUACUGAAGGUAUGGUAUCCCGCUUUGCGGGAAGCUAACCCAGGGAACUGAAACAUCUAAGUACCUGGAGGACAAGAAAACAAUAGUGAUUCCCCAAGUAGUGGCGAGCGAACGGGGAACAGCCCAAACCAGCGUUGUUACGGCAAUGCUGGGGUUGUAGGACUGCAAUGUGGACUGUAAAUUCGUAGCAGAACACUUCUGGAAAGUUGGACCAUAGCAGGUGAUAGUCCUGUAUGCGAAACUGAUUUACUACCUAGCAGUAUCCUGAGUACCGCGGGACCGGAGAAAUCCUGUGGGAAACUGCCAGCACCAUCUGGUAAGGCUAAAUACUCCUGAGAGACCGAUAGUGAACUAGUACCGUGAGGGAAAGGUGAAAAGCACCCCGAACAGGGGAGUGAAAUAGACCCUGAAACCGUGCGCUUACAACCUGUCGGAGUCCCGCAUUCGCGGGAUGACGGCGUGCCUUUUGCAUAAUGAGCCUACGAGUUACUCCUCUCUAGCAAGGUUAAACCCGUGUACGGGUGAAGCCGAAGCGAAAGCAAGUCUGAAUAGGGCGCAUAGUUAGAGGGGGUAGACGCGAAACUUUGUGAUCUACCCAUGGCCAGGCUGAAGCUCCGUUAAUCCGGAGUGGAGGGCCGAACCAGUUGACGUUGAAAAGUCUUUGGAUGAGCUGUGGGUAGGGGUGAAAGGCCAAUCAAACUGAGAAAUAGCUCGUACUCCCCGAAAUGUUUUUAGGAACAGCCUCAAGUUUAGUGUCAUAGAGGUAGAGCUACUGAUUGGACUAGGGGGCUUCACCGCCUACCAAAUCCUGACAAACUCCGAAUGCUAUGACAUAUACUUGGGAGUGAGGGCGCGGGUGCUAAGGUCCGUGCCCGAGAGGGAAACAACCCAGACCAUCAGCUAAGGUCCCCAAGCGUAUGCUAAGUUGUUCAAACGAGGUCUGAUUGCAUUGACAGCUAGGAUGUUGGCUUGGAAGCAGCCAUUCAUUUAAAGAGUGCGUAACAGCUCACUAGUCGAGCGAUCGGGCGUGGAUAAUAAGCGGGCAUUAAGCAUAUCACCGAAGCUAUGGUAUUCAUCGUAAGAUGGAUAGGUAGGGGAGCAUUCCAGUUGCACAGAAGGUGUGUCGUAAGGCAUGCUGGAGCGGCUGGAAAAGCAAAUGUAGGCAUGAGUAACGAUAAUGCAGGCGAGAAACCUGCACACCGAAAGACCAAGGUUUCCUGAUCAACGCUAAUCGGAUCAGGGUUAGUCGGGGCCUAAGGCGAACCCAAAUGGGGUAGUCGAUGGAUAACAGGUUAAUAUUCCUGUACUGGCUCUGCUGCGAUGGGGUGACGAAGGCGUGAAAGAUCCGCGUACUGACGGAAUAGUACGUUGAAGGGCUUAGGUAUACGACUGGUAGGCAAAUCCGCCGGUUGUGCUGAAACCCGAUAGUACCGUGAGUCUUCGGACAAGCGGAUAGUGAUCCUAAUCAUACUUCCAAGAAAAACCUCUAAGCUUCAGGCAGAAGCUACCCGUACCGGAAACCGACACAGGUGGUCGAGGAGAGUAUCCAAAGGUGCUCGAGUGAAUCAUAGCUAAGGAACUAGGCAAAAUAGUCCUGUAACUUCGGAAGAAAGGACGCCCGCCGCAAGGCGGGCCGCAGUGAAAUGGCCCAGGCGACUGUUUAUCAAAAACACAUGGCUCUGCUAAAUCGAAAGAUGACGUAUAGGGCCUGACACCUGCCCGGUGCUGGAAGGUUAAGAGGAGGGGUUAGUCGCAAGGCGAAGCUCUGAAUUGAAGCCCCAGUAAACGGCGGCCGUAACUAUAACGGUCCUAAGGUAGCGAAAUUCCUUGUCGGGUAAGUUCCGACCUGCACGAAUGGUGUAACGAUCUGGGCACUGUCUCAGCUAUGAGCUCGGUGAAAUUGUAGUCCCGGUGAAGAUGCCGGGUACCCGCAACGGGACGGAAAGACCCCGUGAACCUUCACUAUAACUUAACAUUGAUGUUGGAUAAACAAUGUGUAGGAUAGGUGGGAGACUGUGAAGCGGCUUCGCCAGGAGUCGUGGAGUCAUCCUUGAAAUACCACCCUUUGUUUAUUUGACACCUAAUCCCGCAACCGCGGGAGACAGUGUUUGGUGGGUAGUUUGACUGGGGUGGUCGCCUCCAAAAAAGUAUCGGAGGCUUUCAAAGGUACCCUCAGCACGCUUGGUAACCGUGCGCAGAGUGCAAUGGCAUAAGGGUGCUUGACUGUGAGACCUACAAGUCGAGCAGGUACGAAAGUAGGACAUAGUGAUCCGGUGGUUCCGCAUGGAAGGGCCAUCGCUCAAAGGAUAAAAGGUACUCCGGGGAUAACAGGCUGAUCACUCCCAAGAGCUCACAUCGACGGAGUGGUUUGGCACCUCGAUGUCGGCUCGUCACAUCCUGGGGCUGGAGA
Molecule: ribosomal RNA, 2542 nt
Filed under: Lentimicrobiaceae bacterium
Lineage: Bacteria; Pseudomonadati; Bacteroidota; Bacteroidia; Bacteroidales; Lentimicrobiaceae
Description: partial 23S ribosomal RNA
Rfam family: Bacterial large subunit ribosomal RNA
Source: RNAcentral